This 500-nucleotide ribosomal RNA is filed under the name uncultured bacterium. RNAcentral's name for it is "partial 16S ribosomal RNA". It matches the Rfam family "Bacterial small subunit ribosomal RNA", at positions 30 to 523 of the family's 1533-position model. The record is from RNAcentral.
AUUGAACGCUGGCGGCAUGCCUUACACAUGCAAGUCGAACGGCAGCACGGGUGCUUGCACCUGGUGGCGAGUGGCGAACGGGUGAAUAAUACAUCGGAACGUACCUUAUCGUGGGGGAUAACGCAGCGAAAGCUGUGCUAAUACCGCAUACGCCCUGAGGGGGAAAGCGGGGAUCGCAAGACCUCGCGCGAUUAGAGCGGCCGAUGCCUGAUUAGCUUGUUGGUGGGGUAAAAGCCCACCAAGGCGACGAUCAGUAGCUGGUCUGAGAGGACGAUCAGCCACACUGGGACUGAGACACGGCCCAGACUCCUACGGGAGGCAGCAGUGGGGAAUUUUGGACAAUGGGGGCAACCCUGAUCCAGCAAUGCCGCGUGAGUGAAGAAGGCCUUCGGGUUGUAAAGCUCUUUUGUCAGGGAAGAAACACCGGCUCUAACACAGUCUGGGAAUGACGGUACCUGAAGAAUAAGCACCGGCUAACUACGUGCCAGCCGCCGCCGUAA